Molecule: ribosomal RNA, 433 nt
Filed under: uncultured bacterium
Lineage: Bacteria
Description: partial 16S ribosomal RNA
Rfam family: Bacterial small subunit ribosomal RNA
Source: RNAcentral
AACGAACGCUGGCGGCAUGCCUAACACAUGCAAGUCGAACGAGACCUUCGGGUCUAGUGGCGCACGGGUGCGUAACGCGUGGGAACCUGCCCUUAGGUUCGGAAUAACUCUCCGUAAGGGGUGCUAAUACCGGAUAAUGUCUUCGGACCAAAGAUUUAUCGCCUUUGGAUGGGCCCGCGUUGGAUUAGCUAGUUGGUAGGGUAAAAGCCUACCAAGGCGACGAUCCAUAGCUGGUCUGAGAGGAUGAUCAGCCACACUGGGACUGAGACACGGCCCAGACUCCUACGGGAGGCAGCAGUGGGGAAUAUUGGACAAUGGGCGAAAGCCUGAUCCAGCAAUGCCGCGUGAGUGAUGAAGGCCUUAGGGUUGUAAAGCUCUUUUACCCGGGAUGAUAAUGACAGUACCGGGAGAAUAAGCUCCGGCUAACUCCGUG